Pongo abelii (Sumatran orangutan) is the source of this 152-nucleotide unclassified non-coding RNA. It matches the Rfam family "Metazoan signal recognition particle RNA". Rfam says of the family: The signal recognition particle (SRP) is a universally conserved ribonucleoprotein. The record is from Ensembl. NCBI's taxonomy places the organism in Eukaryota, Metazoa, Chordata, Mammalia, Primates, Hominidae.
GCCAGGUGUGGUGGUGCACACCUGUAGUCCCAGCUACUUAGGAGGCUGAGGCAAGGGGGUUCCUUGAGCCCAGGAGGUUGAGGCUGGCUGCAAUGAGCUAGGAUCACACCACUUCUCUCCACCCUGGGCAACAUAGCAAAACUUUGUCUCUA